UUCGCAAUGCCCGAAAGGGUGACGAAGCGACGCCGCGUGGGUGAAGAAGGCCUUCGGGUUGUAAAACCCUGUCAGGAGUUAUGAAAUGUAAGUGCGCUAAUAUCGUGCUUAUUUGACAAAGGCUCCAAAGGAAGCCACGGCUAACUCUGUGCCAGCAGCCGCGGUAAUACAGAGGUGGCGAGCGUUGUUCGGAAUUAUUGGGCGUAAAGAGCACGUAGGUGGGUUUGCAAGUCAGAUGUGAAAGCCUUCUGUUCAACGGGAGAAUUGCAUCUGAAACUGCUAAUCUUGAGUGUAGGAGGGGAGAAUGGAACUUCUGGUGGAGCGGUGAAAUGCGUAGAUAUCAGAAGGAACGCCGGCGGCGAAAGCGAUUCUCUGGCCUAUUACUGACACUCAGUGUGCGAAAGCUAGGGGAGCAAACGGGAUUAGAUACCCCGGUAGUCCUAGCCGUAAACGAUGGGCACUAAGUAGA
This 469-nucleotide ribosomal RNA is filed under the name uncultured bacterium. RNAcentral describes it as "bacterial SSU rRNA". It matches the Rfam family "Bacterial small subunit ribosomal RNA", at positions 365 to 824 of the family's 1533-position model. The record is from RNAcentral.